Molecule: ribosomal RNA, 436 nt
Filed under: uncultured bacterium
Lineage: Bacteria
Description: bacterial SSU rRNA
Rfam family: Bacterial small subunit ribosomal RNA
Source: RNAcentral
GACGGUACCUGCAUAAUAAGGAGCGGCCAACUACGUGCCAGCAGCCGCGGUGACACGUAGGCUCCAAGCGUUGUCCGGAUUUAUUGGGCGUAAAGAGCUCGUAGGCGGUUCAGCAAGUCGGGUGUGAAAACUCUGGGCUCAACCCAGAGCCUGCACCCGAAACUGCUGUGACUAGAGUUCGGUAGGGGAGUGGGGAAUUCCUAGUGUAGCGGUGAAAUGCGCAGAUAUUAGGAGGAACACCGAUGGCGAAGGCACCACUCUGGGCCGAAACUGACGCUGAGGAGCGAAAGCGUGGGUAGCAAACAGGAUUAGAUACCCUGGUAGUCCACGCCGUAAACGAUGGGCACUAGGUGUGGGUCUCUAACCAACGAGAUCCGCGCCGUCGCUAACGCAUUAAGUGCCCCGCCUGGGGAGUACGGUCGCAAGACUAAAACUC